Molecule: ribosomal RNA, 459 nt
Filed under: uncultured bacterium
Lineage: Bacteria
Description: partial 16S ribosomal RNA
Rfam family: Bacterial small subunit ribosomal RNA
Source: RNAcentral
CCUCCUUUCUUCCGCCGUUCUUACUAUUUUUCCCUUUUCUUCCUCCUGCCCCCGCCCCGUCGCGUGCGGGUUGAAGGCCCUACGGGUCGUAAACCGCUUUUGCACGGGGAUAACACCCUCCACUUGUGGAGGUCUGCAGGUACCGUGCGAAUAAGGGCAGGCAAAUUCCGUGCCAGCAGCCGCGGUAAUACGGAAGGCCCGAGCGUUAUCCGGAUUCAUUGGGCUUAAAGGGAGCGUAGGCGGGCGUUCACGUCAGCUGUAAAAUCGCGCGGCUCAACCGCGCCCCGCAGUUGAAACUGGACGCCUUGAGUUCACAACAGGCAGGCGGAAUUCGUGGUGUAGCGGUGAAAUGCAUAGAUAUCACGAGGAACCCCGAUUGCGAAGGCAGCCUGCCGGGGUGCGACUGACGCUGAGGCUCGAAGGUGCGGGUAUCAAACAGGAUUAGAUACCCCAGUAGUC